UAUGGCUAUAUCAUGUUGAAGACUCAGUUCUCGUAUGAUCACUGAAGUUAAGCAGUGGUGAGCCUGGUCAGUAACUACAUGGGUGACUGCUUAGGAAUACCAGGUGGUGUAAG
Molecule: non-coding RNA, 113 nt
Organism: Acanthosepion pharaonis
Lineage: Eukaryota; Metazoa; Mollusca; Cephalopoda; Sepiida; Sepiidae
Source: the annotation of a GenBank genome assembly